This is a non-coding RNA of Salmo salar (Atlantic salmon), 54 nucleotides long. Lineage: Eukaryota; Metazoa; Chordata; Actinopteri; Salmoniformes; Salmonidae. The record is from Rfam.
UGCAUGCACUACUGCAAGUCUCUUUGGAUAAAAGUCUCUGCUAAAUGGCAUUAA